AAGUUAAAUUUUAUUAAGUUUUUAAUUAAAAUUUAUUUUAAGUUAAGUAUAAAAAUUUUAUUAUUUAUAAAGAAAAAAUUAGAUAUUAUUAUAGUGAAUUGUAUUGUGAAAGAAAAUAGAUUUUAUUUUUAAGAAAAAUUAAGUUUUUGUACCUUGUGUAUCAGGGUUUAUUUAAAAUUUUUAUAUAUUUUAUAAUCUCGAAUUUAAAAGGGCUAAAUAAUUAAAAUUUUUAUUGUAAAAUAAAUAUUUUUUAUUAUUAUUUUGUAAUGAAAUGUUAUACGUUUUUAAAUAUAUCUAGUUUUUUAAGAAAAAAAUUUAAUUUAUCUAUUAUAUUAAUAUAUUUAUUUAUUUUUAUAUUUAUAUUAUUAAUAUUAAAUAUUUUUAGGGAUUAGCUUAAAAAUAUAUUUUUAUUAGUUAUUAUGAUUUUAAAUAAAUUUAGGAUUAGAAAUUUUCACAUUUUAAAGUAUGUUAUUAUUUAUUUUUAUUUUUAAACUUUAUAUUAACUAUAAUUUUUUUAUUAAAAUAUUAAUUAAAAUUUUAUUUAUUAAGUAAUAAUGAUAAAAUUAGUAUAAGUAUAAUUGUUAAAAUAUAAAUUAAUUGUAAGGUUAAUUGAAGGAAUUUGGCAAAUAAUUUUUCACCUGUUUAUUAAAAACAUGUCUUUUUGUUUUAAAUUUAAAGUCUAGCCUGCCCGUUGAAAUAUUUAAAUGGCCGCGAUAUUUUGAUCGUGCUAAGGUAGCAUAAUCAUUAGUUUUUUAAUUGAAAGCUGGAAUGAAGGGUUGGAUGAAAAAAUAACUGUCUAUAUUUAAUUUUAUUAAAAUUUUAUUUUUAAGUUAAAAAGCUUAAAUUUUAUUAAAAGACGAGAAGACCCUAUAGAGUUUUAUAAAUUUGUUUAAUUUUUUAUUUAGUAUUAAGUUUUUAAUUUUUUAGAUUUAUUUUGUUGGGGUGAUUAAAAAAUUUAAUUAACUUUUUUUAUAUAAUUAUAUUAAUUUAUAAAUUUUUGAUCCAAUAUUUUUGAUUAUAAGUUAAAAUUACCUUAGGGAUAACAGCGUUAUUUUAUUAGAGAGUUCUUAUCGAUAAUAAAGAUUGCGACCUCGAUGUUGGAUUAAAAUGUAUAUUUGGUGUAGAAGCUAAAUUAUUAAGUCUGUUCGACUUUUAAAAUUUUACAUGAUCUGAGUUUAAACCGGUGUGAGCCAGGUUGGUUUCUAUCUUUAAUUUGUUAAUAUAUUUUAGUACGAAAGGACCAAAUAUAUAAAAAAUUUUUUAUUUUUGAUACAUAUU
This 1278-nucleotide ribosomal RNA is filed under the name Luperus sp. EMHAU-15070805. RNAcentral describes it as "16S ribosomal RNA". The stretch from base 1039 to 1197 matches the Rfam family "Archaeal large subunit ribosomal RNA", at positions 2544 to 2703 of the family's 2987-position model. Lineage: Eukaryota; Metazoa; Arthropoda; Insecta; Coleoptera; Chrysomelidae. The record is from RNAcentral.